CAGCCGCCGCGGGAAUACGUAGGUCCCGAGCGUUGUCCGGAUUUAUUGGGCGUAAAGGGAGCGCAGGCGGUUUAGUAAGUCUGAAGUUAAAGGCAUUGGCUCAACCAAUGUAUGCUUUGGAAACUGUUAGACUUGAGUGCAGAAGGGGAGAGUGGAAUUCCACGUGUAGCGGUGAAAUGCGUAGAGAUGUGGAGGAACACCAGUGGCGAAGGCGACUCUCUGGUCUGUAACUGACGCUGAGGAGCGAAAGCGUGGGGAGCGAACAGGAUUAGAUACCCCUGUAGUCCCUGUCUCUUAUACA
Molecule: ribosomal RNA, 301 nt
Filed under: uncultured bacterium
Lineage: Bacteria
Description: partial 16S ribosomal RNA
Rfam family: Bacterial small subunit ribosomal RNA
Source: RNAcentral